UCAUUGCACAUUUCCUGGGCCAAUAAAAACCAUCGUUCAAAAACCAAAGACUUUGGCGGUGUUUUAUAUAAUCAGGGGAGCCUGUUACUUAAUAUGAUACUCCACAAAUAUCUUUCCACACUUAGAAAUACCAGCCUGUAUACUGCCGCCAAUGUUUAAUUUUAAAAACCUAACAACACAUAUACACCAAUUAAAUACCAGGUCAAAGUGCAGCCAAUAGUGCGGGGCCAAAUGGACUACAUCUACUCCAUACAAGUCACAAACAAACAAACAACCAGAACUUGACAGUAAUAAACUUUAACUAUAAAUUUAUCAAACCAAUUAAUAAAACAUGCACAUAUCGCCCGUCACUCUCAUCGAAAGAUA
Molecule: ribosomal RNA, 366 nt
Filed under: Olavius crassitunicatus
Lineage: Eukaryota; Metazoa; Annelida; Clitellata; Tubificida; Naididae
Description: partial 12S ribosomal RNA
Source: RNAcentral